Non-coding RNA from Pangasianodon gigas (Mekong giant catfish), 72 nucleotides. The record is from the annotation of a GenBank genome assembly. NCBI's taxonomy places the organism in Eukaryota, Metazoa, Chordata, Actinopteri, Siluriformes, Pangasiidae.
UCCCUGGAGGACUAGUGGUCAGGCCUCGGCGAACUCAACGCUAUGGCCUGGGUUCGAUUCCUGGCCAGGGAA